AAGAUUUGCCUUGAUUGUUGUUUACCAAUAAUAGAUUAAUAGCUUACAGCUAUCUGCACUUCAUGUGCCCUACACAAUUAUAUUAUCAUGCACAUCAACUAUUAAUCACAUAACAACGCAUAGUAGUUGUAAUAUAAACUUUACACUACAUCUCAUAAUGAUGCAUGUUUUAUAUAUCAUCAUUUUGCAUUUGUAAAUUGUCAAUUAAAAUUGACCCAUGUGUGGUCUUUGUGAUACUAUUUUUACAGGUGGCAUCAUCUUCAGUCGCUCACAUAGACCACUCUCCACCUAGCCAGAUGGCUUUUUGUUUGAGAUAUUGGUACGUAUAAUAGCCUGCCUACUUUUAAUCGCACGAUAGUGGAGCGGUUGAUGGGCCAUUCUAUGUCAUAUUUGUCUCUCUAGGUACCUGGGGUGUUUGUCGACAGGAUGUUGUCACACUGGAUGCCCGAGUGACAUGUUUUCAGGUUUGUAUUGAACGAGCUCACUCCCACCCUAGAGGAGUAUUGUCGAAUUUCAGGCUUGUCAGUGGACGACCCUUGUGAUAGAGUGGCGGUUGGUCAGAUGCGCCGCCAGUUCAUAACCAUGAAUGUCUUGAGGUGGUCAGUCAUUUUGGCAGAGGUCACUGGUGGACAUAUUGUGUCGAUGGAUUUCUUGGUAGAUUGCUUCGAUUUUGCCGACAACUUUUUCAUGUACCGAGGCUGCUUUGCCAUUUCAGAGGAUAGAUUGCACACGGUGAGAGUUGAUGUAUUGAUGAUAUGCGUUUUGGAUUUUAUUUACAUGUCCAUUUACAUCGAUCAUAUGGAUGUUGGAGUAUUAAUGGUGGUCAAGGCCCUUCAUGGUGUCUUUACCAUCCUUCCAUUGAUCUUAGCUGAGAUGUUGAUAACGGCCUCUUAUUGUCAGACUUUUGGAGACUGAGUGUUUAGUGGGAGUUAAGUUCUUUUAUAUGUCUGGUUCGUGACCCAUUUGAGGUCGAUAUGUCGGUUUCAUCGUCAUGGGUACUGUUUUGUCCACAACAUAGCUCUUUCCUAUUUUUUUCGCCCGGCUUCGUAUGUUGACAUCAUGUCUUAGGCUGAGUUCCUGACCUUUAUUGAGGACCCCUUAGAGAUCGUGAUGUACUCAGGGUAUUGCUCCUUCUUGAGCUUUGUCACCCAUGUUGCUAAUCUUAAUUUUCUCCCCCUGGCAGGUUUGAGGGGUGUUACUACAUAUCAACCUCUGGCAGUCAUGGGCCAGUUCGAUCAACGUCUGGAGGUCCAGUUAUUUUAGAGAGCUGGAGAUUAUCAAUUCUAGAUUUGCUCCACUACUGCGGCGUAUUUGGCGUAGGUCUACAGAUUUUAGUCUCACAGACAUAUUACUAAGUUUAGGGAUGGCUAUGUUGGUCAGUCUUCAGAGAACUUUGCCUAGUUGGAGGCGGCCUAGGCGUAUGCUAUUGUUGAUUAUGCCAAGGCAGGUGCCUAGUCUAGUGAUGAUGAGGAGCUAAUGGGGGACCCAAUAUCACUGACUAAGGAUGAGUUAUAUGUCGUUUUAACCAAGGCUUUUGCCAGAACGACUCCUAGUUUUGCCCCUGCUUCAGUUUCUGCAUCAACGGGGGAGCUAGAUCGUCAGGUGCAUCUUCUUACAUUCGAGCGAGAUCAGGUAUGAGCUUUGAUGCUGACUGUUUUGGCUAGUAGAGAUACAACUUAUGUUGAGA
This 1687-nucleotide long non-coding RNA is filed under the name Panax ginseng (ginseng). RNAcentral describes it as "long non-coding RNA (PGIN_LNC005097)". Lineage: Eukaryota; Viridiplantae; Streptophyta; Magnoliopsida; Apiales; Araliaceae. The record is from RNAcentral.